GCUUGUCUCAAAGAUUAAGCCAUGCAUGUCUAAGUGUAAAUACGUCUACACUGUGAAACUGCGAAUGGCUCAUUAAAUCAGUUAUCGUUUAUUUGAUGAUCUCUUGUUACAUGGAUAACCGUGGUAAAUCUAUGGCUAAUACAUGCGCAAAGGCCCGACCCUGAAGGGCUGUAUUUAUUAGAUCUAACCAUCAUUUGGUGAAUCAUAGUAACUGAUCGGACCGUGCGUUAGCGCGGUAAAUCGUUCAAGUUUCUGCCCUAUCAGCUUUCGAUGGUAGUGUAUUGGACUACCAUGGCAGUCACGGGUAACGGAGAAUUAGGGUUCGGUUCCGGAGAGGGAGCCUGAGAAACGGCUACCACAUCUAAGGAAGGCAGCAGG
Molecule: ribosomal RNA, 378 nt
Filed under: uncultured Peniculida
Lineage: Eukaryota; Ciliophora; Oligohymenophorea; Peniculida
Description: partial small subunit ribosomal RNA
Rfam family: Eukaryotic small subunit ribosomal RNA
Source: RNAcentral